GUACUAGUAAUAAACUAGCUCGUGUUCCAGCAGUCGAGACUGAGAGGUCGAUCGACCACAUUGGGUAUGAAAAAAGCCCAAGGCGAACAGCACAGCAGUGAGGAAUAUUGGUCAAUGGUCUAACGACUGAACCAGCAAUUUGGAAGAACGUAUAAUAAAUAAAUUAUUUAAAGUUCUAGAUAAAAUAUUUAUAAUGACUAUUUUUUAUCUAUAAGUCUUGGCCAAAUUACGUGCCAGCAGUCGCGGUAAUACGUAAAAGACGAGUGUUAUUCAUCUUUAAUCGGUUUAAAGGGUACCUAGACGGAAAAUCAAGCUUAAUUAAACUAAGGACUAGUUUUCUAGAGUUUGACAUGAGAAGGUACGAACUAUCAGAGGAGAGAUAAAAUUUGUUGAUACUGGUGGGACGGACAACGGCGAAGGCAAUCUUCUACUAAAAACUGACGUUGAGGGACGAAGCCUUGGGGAGCGAGAAGGAUUAGAUACCCUAGUAGUCCUUGGAGAAAAUUAUGAGUGCCAUAGACUAAAGUGAAAAAGAAGUUCUUUUAAAAGAACUUUGUAUCUGAGCCUUAAUUGGAUACAAAGGUCUCGAGUAGCAGUUUAUAAAUGAAAGUGUAAGCAUUCCACCUCAUGACUAAAGCGGCAACGCCCAAAUUGAAAUCAUUAGACCGUUUCUGAAACCAGUAGUGAAGUAUGUUAUUUAAUUCGAUAACCCGCGAAUAACCUUACCACGUUUUGAAUUUAUUAAACAAGUGUUGCACGGCUGUCUUCAG
This 770-nucleotide ribosomal RNA is filed under the name Chaetothyriales sp. RNAcentral's name for it is "bacterial SSU rRNA". It matches the Rfam family "Bacterial small subunit ribosomal RNA", at positions 246 to 1058 of the family's 1533-position model. The record is from RNAcentral. Lineage: Eukaryota; Fungi; Ascomycota; Eurotiomycetes; Chaetothyriales.